Molecule: long non-coding RNA, 598 nt
Filed under: Fukomys damarensis (Damara mole-rat)
Lineage: Eukaryota; Metazoa; Chordata; Mammalia; Rodentia; Bathyergidae
Description: lncRNA (ENSFDAG00000026546.1)
Source: RNAcentral
GUCAGGAGGGAGAGGAAUGUUGCAAAGUGCCCAGCACAGGCCCUGCCAUGGACUAGGUGCUCAUUUUUCUUCCCCUCCCAGACCAGAUGUCCUGCUCACUUUUUGUCCAUGCACCUGAAUGCUGGAAGAAAGGAAGUGACAGCAGUGGUCAGGACCGGGGACAUCUCGUCCUUCUCAUCCCACUCACCUGCAGACCCUCAGGCCUCCCUUCUGUGCUCAGGACCCUGAGGGCUGAACUGAACAUCUGGAGGGGCGUCUGGGGCUUGGGGGCCUCCUGAAGGGCACCAGGCCCUGAAACGCCAAAUCAUGUGCUGGAUGUGCUCUGUCACCAGCCCGCUGUCUCCUGAUUAUUCCUCCACCAGGCCUUGUCCAGCCAGGUUGGACUUGCUGUUCUCUUUCCCAGUGGUGUGCAUCUCUCUUCCUCCGAGGCCUCCACCCUUCUCAGAGCCUGCCCGCAGUACUAAUGACUCCUUCCCCAUGUCAGCCACAGCCACUCAGUUCCAAGCAGGGGAGGUAGUGUCUUUCUUCUCUGCUGGCCUUGACACAGCCCUGGAUACCCAGAGGAACUUCAUCAUAUAGAUUCGCUAUUAUUAGAACC